Sus scrofa (pig) is the source of this 797-nucleotide long non-coding RNA. RefSeq lists it as uncharacterized. The record is from RefSeq and is a predicted model, not a curated record. Lineage: Eukaryota; Metazoa; Chordata; Mammalia; Artiodactyla; Suidae.
CCUGGUCCAGAAACCCCACGUGUGUGACCCUAGGCUCGUUUCUGUGCUCAGCUCUCCACUUGGAGUCACAUAUUGAAGAGAGAGGAGCCACAGGUUGGAGGAGCCCUGAAUAUUGCUUGGAGGAGCACCGCCCACAGGAAUAAAUUGAAGAACUAAAUCCUCUAAAGAAACAUUGACCAAAAAAGAGAAGAAAAGAUGAAAAAUGUGUGAUAUUUUCUGAACAGUGGAAUUAACCCUCAGCAAUUGAAAAGAUGAGCCAAGAGCUGUGGCCAAGUAGCACAUGAAAGAAAGAUGGAGGAUUUCUAAACACCCAUUCAAGGCAACAUUCCUCACCAUAUUUCAAAUUCCAGAUGGGUGCUGUUGACAUCCGGGUCAUCAAAUGAGCAGGUCAGCAAGUGCUGAGGUCCAUCCACUUCCAGCUGACUGUAGCACGAGAAGGAGUAGUCGUCCGGCUCUGCGUCGUCAAAGUCUCCUGGGAAGGAACAAACCUACAGCUGUUAAUGGAGCCAAGAAAUGCUUCUUUUUGAAAUCUGGAGCGAUGUUGAUGAAAUGGCAGCCUUUUGUGGCAGAUGUGAAAGAGUGACGAUUGUUUAUCUGAAGAAGGAAAGCCGGAGGGCAGAGGCAAUAAAUUGGAUUAAAAAAAAAAUCGACACAAAACCUAGCGAGCACAGAUUUUUGCUGAUAGAAAAGAGUUAUCACGAUGAAUACAUAGCCAGAAAGAUUUCCAAAUAUCUCUGCCAUUGAGUGCAUUAGAGCUCUAGAGUGAAAUAAUAAACAUACACUUUCUUUUGUAUACA